UUUCUGGUUGUCUAAUGGUUAGGACUUGGCACUUUCACUGCCAUGGCCUGGGAUCAAUCCCUGGUCAGAGAA
Molecule: transfer RNA, 72 nt
Filed under: Bos taurus (domestic cattle)
Lineage: Eukaryota; Metazoa; Chordata; Mammalia; Artiodactyla; Bovidae
Also listed under: 4 other names
Rfam family: tRNA
About the family: Transfer RNA (tRNA) molecules are approximately 80 nucleotides in length. Their secondary structure includes four short double-helical elements and three loops (D, anti-codon, and T loops).
Source: Rfam by way of RNAcentral